Molecule: ribosomal RNA, 1486 nt
Filed under: uncultured bacterium
Lineage: Bacteria
Description: bacterial SSU rRNA
Rfam family: Bacterial small subunit ribosomal RNA
Source: RNAcentral
AGAGUUUGAUCAUGGCUCAGGAUGAACGCUAGCGGCAGGCCUAAUACAUGCAAGUCGAACGAUACUUUCCAGCUUGCUGGAGAGGAAAGUGGCGCACGGGUGCGUAACGCGUAUGCAACCUACCUUCAUCAGGGGGAUAGCCCGGAGAAAUCCGGAUUAAUACCGCAUAAAAUCACAGGAUGGCAUUAUCCAAUGAUCAAACAUUUAUGGGAUGGAGAUGGGCAUGCGUGUCAUUAGCUAGUUGGCGGGGUAACGGCCCACCAAGGCGACGAUGACUAGGGGAUCUGAGAGGAUGGCCCCCCACACUGGUACUGAGACACGGACCAGACUCCUACGGGAGGCAGCAGUAAGGAAUAUUGGUCAAUGGAGGCAACUCUGAACCAGCCAUGCCGCGUGCAGGAAGACUGCCCUAUGGGUUGUAAACUGCUUUUAUCCGGGAAUAAACCUAAAUACGUGUAUUUAGCUGAAUGUACCGGAAGAAUAAGGAUCGGCUAACUCCGUGCCAGCAGCCGCGGUAAUACGGAGGAUCCAAGCGUUAUCCGGAUUUAUUGGGUUUAAAGGGUGCGUAGGCGGCCUGUUAAGUCAGGGGUGAAAGACGGUAGCUCAACUAUCGCAGUGCCCUUGAUACUGAUGGGCUUGAAUGGACUAGAGGUAGGCGGAAUGAGACAAGUAGCGGUGAAAUGCAUAGAUAUGUCUCAGAACACCGAUUGCGAAGGCAGCUUACUAUGGUCUUAUUGACGCUGAGGCACGAAAGCGUGGGGAUCAAACAGGAUUAGAUACCCUGGUAGUCCACGCCCUAAACGAUGAACACUCGCUGUUGGCGAUACACAGUCAGCGGCUAAGCGAAAGCGUUAAGUGUUCCACCUGGGGAGUACGCCCGCAAGGGUGAAACUCAAAGGAAUUGACGGGGGCCCGCACAAGCGGAGGAGCAUGUGGUUUAAUUCGAUGAUACGCGAGGAACCUUACCCGGGCUUGAAAGUUAGUGAAUGAUUUAGAGAUAGAUCAGUCCGCAAGGACACGAAACUAGGUGCUGCAUGGCUGUCGUCAGCUCGCGCCGUGAGGUGUUGGGUUAAGUCCCGCAACGAGCGCAACCCCUAUGUUUAGUUGCCAGCAUGUAAUGGUGGGGACUCUAAACAGACUGCCUGUGCAAACAGAGAGGAAGGAGGGGACGACGUCAAGUCAUCAUGGCCCUUACGUCCGGGGCUACACACGUGCUACAAUGGACGGUACAGAGGGCAGCUACAUAGCAAUAUGAUGCGAAUCUCACAAAGCCGUUCACAGUUCGGAUUGGGGUCUGCAACUCGACCCCAUGAAGUUGGAUUCGCUAGUAAUCGCGUAUCAGCAAUGACGCGGUGAAUACGUUCCCGGGCCUUGUACACACCGCCCGUCAAGCCAUGGAAGCUGGGGGUACCUAAAGUAUGUAACCGCAAGGAGCGUCCUAGGGUAAAACCGGUAACUGGGGCUAAGUCGUAACAAGGUAACCGUA